Molecule: long non-coding RNA, 1114 nt
Filed under: Felis catus (domestic cat)
Lineage: Eukaryota; Metazoa; Chordata; Mammalia; Carnivora; Felidae
Description: lncRNA (ENSFCAG00000053366.1)
Source: RNAcentral
CUCCUUCCCUGCCAGUUCCCUUGCGACGGACUCCCUGCUUUAUUUUCUUCUGGCACAUUCCAGCCUGUGCGGUUGUCCAUGUGUUUAUUCAGAUCCCCCACUGGAAUGUCAGCGGUACGAGGACAGGGGCGUUUCCUGCCUUGUUUUCUGUUGACCUCCACUGCUCAGAACAGGACCUGAUACAAUGUAGACAGUUGAAAUCUAUUUGUUGCAAUGAAGAGAGGAAUGAAUAAAAUCGCCUAAAGCUUGCUCAGACUCGGUUUCCUCAACUAUCAAAUGGCUAUAAUAUCUUCCAGGUUGUCAUGAAGAUUAGUUGAGAUCAUGCGUGGAAGUGAUGGCCUUCAUAGGAGCUCUUGAUAUAAGAUGCUGAAUUUGAAGUCUUCCUUGGCCACCGAAUAUGUUCUGGGCUCCAAGGAUCAGUAAGGCCCUUCUUCUGCGGGUGAUGGGGUGGAAGACCUGGGACGUGCCAUCUUCAAUGCAAGGGCUUGCCUCUUCUCUUUCAGGGAGGAGAGGGAAUUGAGUGGACGCGUUACUCCCUCAGAGUUCUUUUUUUUUUUUUUUUUUUUUUACCGUUUUCCAGGUGUGAAAGUCACACACUGGCUGUGAUUAUCUGCCUGAGUCCUUAUUUAAUUGUUAUUUUGGGAUCAGUUGUUUUUGAAAGAUCCCCCAGCUGAUACACAUUGCUGGUGUUUUGCCAAGAGAGAUAAACAGUCUCAGCUUGUACCGCAACUGGAUUCAGUGUGAGCAAAAUAUAGCAGCUGUCUCCCAGCAGAGCCGUCUGCCCUGGAAAUACCUGGGUGGCCUGAUUCAAAUUCACCUUUCAAAUCUUUACCUUGUCAAUUUUGGUAAUGCACAGAUGCUCUGGUCCUUCGGGACCGCCUAAUCAGGUUUCUCACACCUCAAACAGUUGCACUCCCUGAAAAGUGUCCUGGAGAGCAACUUAAUCUUCAUUGCCCCAAACUAGUGAUUAUUCUAUUCAACCAAAAUGGAGACGUAAAACCCAGUGCUGAGCAAAUGUUCACUUCUGUGGUCUGUAAAGAAUGUUAUGAAUUAAACUGAAAAUUGAAAUUACUCAGCACAAUAAUAAAUGCUUACUGAGUGUUGUUAUUUUGCA